This 103-nucleotide ribosomal RNA is filed under the name Jaculus jaculus (lesser Egyptian jerboa). The record is from RNAcentral. Lineage: Eukaryota; Metazoa; Chordata; Mammalia; Rodentia; Dipodidae.
UCCUACAGUCAUACCACUCUGGACACACCUGCUCUCUUCUGAUCUCAGAAGCUAAGCAGGGUUGGGCCUAGCUACUAUGGAGGUGGGAGAAAGUCUGUUGGUC